AAAAAAAUAUAUAAGUAAAGCAAGAUUCUUAUGGUUGUUGUCCACUGAUGCACUAGACAUCGUGGUCCGUGUCUUUUCUUUCCUCGCUGAAGCCACACCACCUAUUCAGGUCCAACGAAUCCUGCGGAGCUGGUCUCCGGCAAGUGGACACAGACAAUUCUUUGGCAUGGAUUGGUGUCGUUUGAGGAUUUGGCUGUGGACUUCACCUGGGAGGAGUGGCAGUACCUGGAUGAUGCUCAGAGGAGCCUGUGCAGGGAUGUGAUGCUGGAGACCUAUAGCAGCCUGGUGGUGUUGGGCUGCUACAUUCCCAAAUCAGAGGUGAUCUUCAAGUUGGAGCAGGGAGCAGAGUCAUGGACAUUAGAAGAAACCCUCAACCAGAGCCUACAAGGUCAGUCAGUGCAUAAUGGGCAGGGAGGCAGGGAAGAGUAAAGCCCAGCAUUUGUUGGUCAUGUUCUGCUGUUUCUGCCAUUUUUUCCAUAGGUCCCAGAUCUGAACACAGCUUGUCUGUUUGCAGAAAACACAUGCCUUAUAUAAUCUCCAAGGAUGACUGUCACAUGUAUACCCCCACGUUUUAUUCUCCUAAAUGUUUUUAAAAUGUUUUCACAUUUUAUUGCAUCUUAUUGGAUUGUGUUUUACACAUGCAUUCUAUGUAAUGAAUCAGGAGAAAUAAUACUUUACAUUUGACUCUAUUUUCUCUCACACCUCACAUGGAAUCCAUAGAAUUUUUUUUCUGUUUUCUCACUACCUCUAUUGCCACAUGGUUACAUCCACCUCAGUCUCUCACAGAGGUGCUUCCAGAGAGUCAGAUCACAUCUGG
RNA transcript from Galeopterus variegatus (Sunda flying lemur), 817 nucleotides. It is a transcript of the gene named zinc finger protein 39-like, with no coding region annotated. The transcript is spliced from 3 exons. Lineage: Eukaryota; Metazoa; Chordata; Mammalia; Dermoptera; Cynocephalidae. The record is from RefSeq and is a predicted model, not a curated record.